Molecule: non-coding RNA, 456 nt
Organism: Taeniopygia guttata (zebra finch)
Lineage: Eukaryota; Metazoa; Chordata; Aves; Passeriformes; Estrildidae
Source: RefSeq, a predicted model, not a curated record
CCGCGCUGAGGGGCGGGGGAGCCGCGCCCCGCCCCGUCCUGUCCCGCCGGGCGCGGGGGGAGCCGCGGAGCGGGGCCGGGAUCCGCUCGGUGGGGCGGGAAACGCAGCGCCAGGGGCGCCGAGGGAAAAGCAGACGGAACGCUCGGCCUUCGGAGAGCUCAAGAGGCUGGCUGGGAACACCUGCUGAAAUGUGUCCAGCUUCACUGAUUGAAGAAGAGUUAUGAGCAAGAUGUGCAGUUUUUUCACCCUUAUUUCUAGAAGUUAAACACAGAACAGGUAGACCAGCUUUACUGAUUUUUAGUGACUGUUGGCAUUGAAAUUGGUUAUAUUUCAGUUCAUUAUCUCCAUAUUUUGUUUUAUCAUCUUGAACAAGUAGCUGGCUAGCAAUUUAAAAAUGUUUAGCAUUUGGGAAAAAAUCUUCUGUCAUGAAAUGAUUGAACAAGACUGUAAUGUCUG